Molecule: ribosomal RNA, 133 nt
Filed under: uncultured bacterium
Lineage: Bacteria
Description: partial 16S ribosomal RNA
Source: RNAcentral
GGUACCGUCAAUGCAAUCUGCUAUUUACAAACUACAACUUCUUCCCACUUGACAGAGCUUUACGACCCGAAGGCCUUCUUCACUCACGCGGCGUUGCUGCGUCAGGCUUUUCGCCCAUUGCGCAAAAUUCCUC